AUACAGCUAUUUCAAUUAAGGUUGUCCACGAGCAACGCGGAAAAGUCGAAUACGAGCGCGAAAGCUGCUGGGAAUCGCUAACAAAUUGAUGAAUUUUCAAAGCGGUUCCCAGCAACCUUUCGCGCUCGUAUUCGACUUUUCCGCUUUGCUCGUGGAAAACCUUA
This is a non-coding RNA of Paramuricea clavata, 164 nucleotides long. NCBI's taxonomy places the organism in Eukaryota, Metazoa, Cnidaria, Anthozoa, Malacalcyonacea, Plexauridae. The record is from the annotation of a GenBank genome assembly.